Molecule: ribosomal RNA, 60 nt
Filed under: Escherichia coli
Lineage: Bacteria; Pseudomonadati; Pseudomonadota; Gammaproteobacteria; Enterobacterales; Enterobacteriaceae
Also listed under: 1 other name
Description: partial 23S ribosomal RNA
Source: RNAcentral
CGUUGAGCUAACCGGUACUAAUGAACCGUGAGGCUUAACCUUACAACGCCGAAGGUGUUU